AGCGAAGCAGUGAUGUGGAGUAAAACUUAAAAAAGCGGUCCCAGUUCGAAUUGAAGGCUGAAAUUCGCCUUCAUGAAGUCGGAAUUGCUAGUAAUGGCAGGUCAGCAUACUGCCGUGAAUACGUUCCCGGGCCUUGUACACACCGCCCGUCACACCAUGAGAGUUGGAGAUACCCGAAGCCUGUGAGCUAACAGAAAUGGAGCAGCAGUCGAAGGUAGAAUCAAUGAUUGGGGUGAAGUCGUAACAAGGUAAC
RNAcentral lists this ribosomal RNA (253 nucleotides) under uncultured bacterium. Its description in RNAcentral is "partial 16S ribosomal RNA". It matches the Rfam family "Bacterial small subunit ribosomal RNA", at positions 1248 to 1500 of the family's 1533-position model. The record is from RNAcentral.